RNAcentral lists this unclassified non-coding RNA (410 nucleotides) under Hevea brasiliensis (rubber tree). Lineage: Eukaryota; Viridiplantae; Streptophyta; Magnoliopsida; Malpighiales; Euphorbiaceae. The record is from RNAcentral.
GAUCAAGGCGCACAUAGUGACAUCUAUUUGGCCAUAACCAAAUGUUCAGUCUUAUAUAAAAAAAUUUACAAAUGCUUCAGUAUGGUAGAGUUGAAGAGAAGGUUUCGCCAGAUUCAAAUGGCAUAUCGCCUUGUCCACUCUCUAGCUAGUUCAUCAUGUUGCUCUGUCGGCCAAGUACAAGUGGGCGAUGCUAGAGACAAGAGGAUUAUAAGGGUCAGGAUGAGUAAACAUUGAUCUGAUUGCAAGUAGCACUUUAUUAAUUGUAAGAGCAGGACUCCAACCAUCCUUCAAUAUGUCCAAACUAAGGUUGCCAGCAGAAUCAACGUUACAAUGAUAUAUACGAGUUUUUAACACUACCUUUGGAGGCUUGAAUGGAUAACCACUUGGAAAUGUUAUGUCAAGAAAAAAUA